UGAGGAAUAUUGGUCAAUGGGCGCAAGCCUGAACCAGCCAUCCCGCGUGAAGGAAGAAGGCGCUAUGCGUUGUAAACUUCUUUUCCAGGGGAAUAAAAUUUUGUACGUGUACGGAAUUGAAGGUACCCUGGGAAUAAGCAUCGGCUAACUCCGUGCCAGCAGCCGCGGUAAUACGGAGGAUGCAAGCGUUAUCCGGAUUUAUUGGGUUUAAAGGGUGCGCAGGCGGGAAAAUAAGUCAGUGGUGAAAUCCUGCAGCUUAACUGUAGAAUUGCCGUUGAUACUGUUUUUCUUGAGUAUGGUCAAGGAAGGCGGAAUGUGUAAUGUAGCGGUGAAAUGCUUAGAUAUUACACAGAACACCGAUUGCGAAGGCAGCUUUCUGGGCCGUUACUGACGCUCAUGCACGAAAGCGUGGGGAUCGAACAG
Molecule: ribosomal RNA, 423 nt
Filed under: uncultured bacterium
Lineage: Bacteria
Description: bacterial SSU rRNA
Rfam family: Bacterial small subunit ribosomal RNA
Source: RNAcentral